GCGCGCGCAGGCGGUUUCUUAAGUCUGAUGUGAAAGCCCACGCCUCAACCGGGGAGGGGCAUUGGAAACUGGGGAACUUGAGUGCAGAAGAGAAAGGCGGAAUUCCACGUGUAGCGGUGAAAUGCGUAGAGAUGUGGAGGAACACCAGUGGCGAAGGCGGCCUUUUGGUCUGUAACUGACGCUGAGGCGCGAAAGCGUGGGGAGCAAACAGGAUUAGAUACCCUGGUAGUCCACGCCGUAAACGAUGUCUGCUAGGUGUUGGAGGCUUUGCGCCC
Molecule: ribosomal RNA, 275 nt
Filed under: Priestia megaterium
Lineage: Bacteria; Bacillati; Bacillota; Bacilli; Caryophanales; Bacillaceae
Description: Bacillus megaterium partial 16S ribosomal RNA
Rfam family: Bacterial small subunit ribosomal RNA
Source: RNAcentral